UCUCACGCUGAGAUCAUCUUUCUCUUUUCGCGAAGAACAAAUCCUAUUUUUCCAAAUUGAUUGUCGAUUGAUUUCCUAUUUUUCUUCUCUUCUUAGUUUUCUCCGUUAAUAAUCUUUCCCCACGAACAAUCAAUUCUCUCCCCACUCCUUUUCACUCUUUAAUCACAUUAAUGGAUUCUUUUCGCUUUCUUCCUCUGAGAUUCUAUAUAAGAUCUUAUUCUCUGUGUUUUGGUUGUCAUCAGAAGUUUUCACGGUGAAGCGGCGUCCCCUCAACUCCGGUUAAACCUGUGGUCCAAAUCGGUGUCUCUUCCGCGACAUCAGCUCCAUGAAACCGAAAGACGACGUAGCGGCGGUCUCCUCCGGUCCUGUCAAACCAAUCGUCCAGACCGGUGUCUCUUCCGGCGAUGUCACCUCGAUGAAGUCAAAAGGCGUAGCAGCAAUCUCCUCCGGUCCGGUCAAACCAAUUGGAAAAGGUCCACCUGUUGUGGAUGACGAUUUGAAUUUGUAGUGAGCACGCCCGGUUCAAUGGCUUGAAAAGUAAGAAUGAAAAGGUUUAAAUCCAGGUCACAAAAUUUAAAGUGAUAGUGGUAUCUACGACGGUCAAGAUGUCGCCGUGAAGCUUGAUUGGGAGGAAAGGCAUAGAUCAGAAGCUGAGAUUGUGUCUUUGAGGGCAGAUUUUGCUCAGGAAGUUGUUGUUUGGCAUAAACUGGACCAUCCAAAUGUUACUAAGGGUUACAACUACAAACAGAGAGUUGUCCACUAGCAAUGCCAAACAAUGUUAUGUUGUUGAAUAUCUUCAAGGUGGUGCUUUGAAAUCCUUCUUGAUCAAGAACAGAAGAAGAAAUUUAGCAUUUAAAGUUGUUGUUCAGCUCGCUCUUGACCUCGCUAGGGGUACCUCCACGAUGCGAUCCUACAGAAGCUUAAAGCGACAUUCCAAUCUACAUAACGUCUCCACCAUCCGUUACUCAGUUCUUUACUCUGUGUUACCCGUAGUUAUUUCACUUCUCCCACUUCGAUCAUUCAAUCUUUUCUUCGUAUUCCACCGUAACCGACUGAAGCUUCACCUAUAAUAUCGCACCGCCCUUUGCUGCGAUGUACAGUUCAACUCAAGCAAUAUUCAGAAGCAAAUUUUGUCUAAGCAAUCGACUCCGAUGGCGACUACGUACACUCUCCUUGCCUAUCUGAGCAUCGAUGAGUGUUGAUAUUCUACGCUGAUGCACGGAUCUAUUGAAGUGGAUGGCUUCAUAUCCAAGAAUCCAAAGCUCAAUUCAAUCGAGCCUCCUGUUAAGGAUGCCUGUACGGAAUAGAUGAAUAUGGAAGCUUAUUUUAUCAUGUUGCUUGCUGUCGUUUUCCUUAAUCAAAUAAUUUUUGGCGUUUUGCCAUUUUCAAACUAUUAGGUAUUUGGUUGAGUUCUUUGCACUGCUAAUAUAAGAAUAUUCGAAAAUUUUUUACCCUUUAAGCAACCAUGUAUUUCAGUCACACACUCCACCAACGUUCUUUGCUGCACAUGUUCCAUUCUACAAACUGUUCAUCUGAGCAUCUUAAGGAUCUAAGUAAGCUCUGCUUGCAGGUCACCUGUUCCUUAAUGCAACCUAUGCGAUAAGUCCGAACCCUAGAGCGAUAAGAUGUCCGUAUACUCGCACACACUUUGUCAACAUCUCACACUAUUUUCAGUGCAGUUGCGUGGUCCUCAGUUCAGCAAAGUAUGCAAGUGUCCAGAAAAUAGAACUAUGGAGGUAUCUAGAGAAUACAGCAUGUAACGGUGUCAGAGCUAAACGCCUACGUCCUUACAUUACAGAGAUUCUGUGCACCAGCAGAGUUGCAGGCAGUGAAACCACAAACGGUGAUGCUACAUGUACAAAUGUUGAGCCACAGAAUGAACAAGCUCACAAAACUCUUUAAGUACAAAUUGAAAAGCAGUAUGUGUAUACGUAAGGUGGUUUAGUCGGGAUUGUCAACCACAAAAGUCAGCCUUGGUUCCAAGAUAAGAUGUGGGAAUGAAAGUGAAAACACUGAGCUGAAGGAAAACCACGAUCUAGACAUGUUGUUUACAUUGUUUUGUGCUAAGAGAAAAACCUGUGAUGCAUAUCAUGUGACAAAAACCACAACACAACUUUUUAAUACUUUGAUAGUAAAUGUUUUGA
Raphanus sativus (radish) is the source of this 2144-nucleotide long non-coding RNA. RefSeq lists it as uncharacterized. The record is from RefSeq and is a predicted model, not a curated record. NCBI's taxonomy places the organism in Eukaryota, Viridiplantae, Streptophyta, Magnoliopsida, Brassicales, Brassicaceae. The transcript has 6 exons.